This 301-nucleotide ribosomal RNA is filed under the name uncultured bacterium. Its description in RNAcentral is "partial 16S ribosomal RNA". It matches the Rfam family "Bacterial small subunit ribosomal RNA", at positions 509 to 807 of the family's 1533-position model. The record is from RNAcentral.
CAGUAGCCACGGGAAUACGGAGGGUGCAAGCGUUAAUCGGAAUUACUGGGCGUAAAGCGUGCGUAGGCGGUUCGUUAAGACAGAUGUGAAAUCCCCGGGCUCAACCUGGGAACUGCCUUUAAGACUGCAUCGCUUGAACGUCGGAGAGGUGAGUGGAAUUCCGAGUGUAGAGGUGAAAUUCGUAGAUAUUCGGAAGAACACCAGUGGCGAAGGCGGCUCACUGGACGACUGUUGACGCUGAGGUACGAAAGCGUGGGGAGCAAACAGGAUUAGAUACCCCUGUAGUCCCUGUCUCUUAUAC